Molecule: RNA transcript, 3793 nt
Organism: Selaginella moellendorffii
Lineage: Eukaryota; Viridiplantae; Streptophyta; Lycopodiopsida; Selaginellales; Selaginellaceae
Gene name: AP3-complex subunit beta-A
Exons: 13
Source: RefSeq, a predicted model, not a curated record
UGCAACUAAAAUUCCUCUGGCGCGAUGCUCGACUUCGCGAUCCGCUAUGCGUUGGCCAUCGCACUGGUCUUCUCCUGCAUAGCUCUCGGAUGGUUCGUGGCGUGGAAGCUGCUGCUCGUUCACAUUCCUCUUGUCCAAGAGAUUUGCGGCUUGCGGAAGAAACCUAAGAAGCCCGUUCUCAGGGCCAGCGCUCCAUUCCCGGACAGGGUGAAAUCGCAGUGAUUCUUAGGGUUUAUCAGAGCAGGGUUUCCAGGGAGCAGCGGCAGCGGCAAUGUUCUCGUCCACGGCGUCUUCGAUCUCCAAAAUGUCCGCUCUCGUCAGCGGCGUCGGCACGGAUGCUGCGAUCUACGACGAUCCCCAGGACGCGGACAUUCCCACGCUGCUCGACAGUCGCUACGACGCGGACAAAGCCCAGGGAUUGAAGCGCCUCAUCGCGCUCAUGGCACAGGGACAGGACGUUUCCACAUUCUUCCCACAGGUUGUCAAGGGCGUUGCUUCACAGUCUCUGGAAGUGAAGAAGCUCGUUUACAUCUACCUCGUCCACUACGCUGAUAAACGACCAGACGAGGCGUUGCUUUCUAUCAACAGUUUCCAAAGAGAUCUAUCCGAUAUCAAUCCCCUGGUUCGUGCUUGGGCCUUGCGAGCGAUGUCCGGGAUCAAGGUCCGCGCAGUUGGCCCUCUCGUUAUCAUGGCUGCAAACAAGUGCGCCAGAGAUCCUUCUCCUUACGUUCGGAGGUGUGCUGCGAAUGCGGUUUCCAAGAUUCAUUCCAUGGGUGACGAACAACAUUUCGACGAGCUUGUACAGCUUGUGUCCAUCUUGCUGAACGACAAUUAUCCGGGCGUAGCUGGAGCCGCAGCGCAGGCUUUUAUCUCUGUUUGCCCGGAGCGUUAUUCCUUAUUGAGCUCCAGCUUCAGGAAGCUGUGUGGACUACUUUACGAGGCUGAUGAAUGGGGACAGAUUUCUCUUAUGGACAUCCUGAUGCGGUAUAUCGUGGCAAAGUAUGGCGUUGUUAGAGAUUUCAGCUCCGCGAACGUAGAAUUCUCAUGUUUACAGCAAGCACACGAAGAAAAUGGUGGCGACUUUUACAAAGCUGACACGACGUUUCCGGAUGAGAGGUGGGAAGUGAGGCUCAUGCUAUCGUCUACGCUUUCUCUGCUACGGAGCCAAAAUAGUGCGGUCGUAUUACAGGCGGCAGUCAUCCAUUGGUAUUUUUCUCCGGGCAAUGAACUCAGCAACAUUGUCAAGCCAUUACUGUUUUUACUUCGUUCGUCGCUUGAUGCACGGCAUGUGGUGCUUGCAAAUAUACUUUCUUUCUCGAAGUGUGAGCCAAGUUUGUUCGAGGCAUAUUUUGAAGAUUUUUUCAUAUGUUCUUCUGACUCUCAAGCUAUUCAAGCUCUGAAGCUGGACAUACUAACAAACAUUGUGUCAGAUUUGUCCGCCACGCAAAUUCUUCAAGAAUUGGAGGCCUAUAUACGAAACCCAAACUCUCAGCUGGCAGCAGACGCAGUAAACUCGAUUGGCCGGUGUGCGCUUCGACUGUCUUCCACAGUGGCUAUAUGCACCAAGGGUCUUCUCAAGCUAGUCGUUUCUCGGUCUUCCCGUGACGACGAUUCGCUCCACAAUGCAAAUGAGGCUGAACCAAAGGUUGGAGACUCUGGCCGCGAACAAUAUAGUCCGGGGAGGGGAAGAGUGGUGGUUCAAGCGGUUUCGUCGCUAAGAGCUAUUAUGCAGAAGCACCCAGCAGAGCAGGACCAGGUAAUCCUUCAUCUUUUACGCAACUUAAACCACAUUUUAGAACCAACUGCACGUGAAGUCGUCAUUUGGAUGAUUGGUGAACAAGCAAUUGCUCGUCCUGCACUUGCUGAAGGAAUCCCUGUGGCCCUGCGGUAUCUAGCCAAAACGUUUGCAAAUGAGUCUAAUGGAACUAAGCUUCAAGUUUUGAACUGCCUUGCGAAGAUCAUUUCAUCUUCUCAACGGUGCUCGUCUUUGAAGACUGUCCUGUUAAUUCUUCAGUAUAUUCUGGAUCUUGCCGCCUGUGAUUUAAACUAUGACGUACGAGAUCGAGCCUGGAUUUUACGAGUUCUCUUGGCUGGCCAUUUAGACGCUAUCAAGCACCAUUCGUCAUAUGACGCAGAUCCACGUCUUCCGGAGAUUAUCGACGCUAUUUUACUCAACAUUGAUCAGUCAAAACUUGAUCCAGGUGUACUAUCCAAAGCUGCCAACUCCAUGUUUCUUCGCCAGAAGUCGGUACCAGUAUUACCUUCGUUGAGUUUACAGCCGUCCACAUUCCUACCAGGAUCGAUGUCUCAUAUGGUUCAACACAUGUCUCCUGGAUACAGACCUCUUCCACGCGAAAGAUACACGGAUUUGAGUCCUUCCAGCCCAACUUUACCCGAAAGACAACCCGAACUUCAAAGCCAGAGUGAAUCUACGGACUCGGGUAGUGAAAGCUUUGAGUCUGAGGAUGACGGGAACUAUACAGAUGACGUUCUUGCUGUUAUAAGUGAUGCCGACGGGAACACAGCGAAGGAGAAAGCAGAUUUAAUUUCGCUGUCUGACACGGAACUGCUGAAGAAAGACGCUUCGCCUGAGGAUCUGUCCCCGUCUGUGGAUCUUGAGUCGUGGCUUGGACCUGAAGAACCUUCCAAUUCGCCAGAGGACUUCGAUAAAAGCUCCAACUCUGAAGUGAAAAAGGUGCUGGCUCUUGACUUCACAAACGGAGACGGACUGGAAGUUCACUACGGCUUUAUGAGAGGUCCUUCCAUAUUUUCGUCCAGCAUGGUGUGUGUGAGGCUCUUCCUUCACAACAAAUCGUCGGAACCAAUGCAUGGGAUAGAAAUCAACGAUGGAGAAACUGCAGGACGCCAGACUGCUUUCGAGAGUGGCACAGCGAGAAUCAUACCACCGGAAGCAGUUGCUCUCGAGCCAGGGGAGAAAACGGAACUCAAUGCGCAUGUUGAUUUUCGGCACAACCUAAGUAUCGUCAAGGUGUGGCUGCACUGCAACUCAAACAAGUUCCCUAUCAAGAUAUCGCCAGAACCAGGCGUUCUUUUGCGUCCUCGGAAGAUGAGUAUAAGCGUGUUUUUGGCUGCUGAAGCCCGAAUUGCUGGGAUGCACAGGUCUUCUCGGAGAAUUUAUCUUCACGGAAUUUCUCCUGGACAGUGUUGCAAAAGAAUAGUCGCAGCUGCCAGGGUCUCAUUCAUAGGCUCGCGAGACGCCGAAGACGUGGUUCUUCUUUUUGGCGCGGAAACUCUCACAGGGUCACUCUUAUGUCUAAUCUCCGUGGCCUUGGAACCGGAUGCUGUGCAUGGCACGCUUACGAUCUGCUGCGAGGACACUUUAUUUGGCCUUGCGUUGCUGAAUCAUCUUGACAAAGCCUUGACAUCUCUUGAAAGCACCGAUUCUUAACCAUGUGUGCUCAUGCGCAUCUUGGCACGCGGCUAUAUUUUUUUCGUCUACGGGAGACAUGCCAUGUUGCUGGUCGUGCUCAACAGUUACAUAUUUUUUCGUCUUAUCUGGGAAGCGGCCCAACUUAAUAUGGUGUCGCCGGCUAUAAACACGCGAAUUUUCGGUGUUUACAGAUGGUGGCGGCUAGUGCCAUGGUAACUACACUUCAGUGCGUGGGGCCUUGACGUCUACAUUUUAGAGGCCAUUUUAGAAACGGCUCCAAACGCUUGCGUCUGCCGCGUGUUCAUGUUCAUUCAAGCCAAGAAAAUCCUUGAGCCGCGCAUCAUCGCCGCCUUCGAGCUCAACGAGGAAUGACGCUACCUCUUCCCGGUUGCUACCAGUAUG